RNAcentral lists this ribosomal RNA (376 nucleotides) under uncultured bacterium. Its description in RNAcentral is "bacterial SSU rRNA". It matches the Rfam family "Bacterial small subunit ribosomal RNA", at positions 521 to 896 of the family's 1533-position model. The record is from RNAcentral.
UAAUACGGAGGGUGCAAGCGUUAAUCGGAAUUACUGGGCGUAAAGCGCGCGUAGGCGGUUUGUUAAGUCGGAUGUGAAAGCCCCGGGCUCAACCUGGGAACUGCAUACGAUACUGGCAAGCUAGAGUGCAAUAGAGGGGGGUAGAAUUCCAGGUGUAGCGGUGAAAUGCGUAGAUAUCUGGAGGAAUACCGGUGGCGAAGGCGGCCCCCUGGAUUGACACUGACGCUGAGGUGCGAAAGCGUGGGUAGCAAACAGGAUUAGAUACCCUGGUAGUCCACGCCGUAAACGAUGUCAACUAGCUGUUGGGACUCUUGUAGUUCUGGUAGCGCAGCUAACGCACUAAGUUGACCGCCUGGGGAGUACGGCCGCAAGGUUA